RNAcentral lists this ribosomal RNA (253 nucleotides) under uncultured bacterium. RNAcentral's name for it is "partial 16S ribosomal RNA". It matches the Rfam family "Bacterial small subunit ribosomal RNA", at positions 524 to 776 of the family's 1533-position model. The record is from RNAcentral.
UACGUAGGGGGCAAGCGUUGUCCGGAAUCAUUGGGCGUAAAGCGCGUGUAGGCGGCUCGGUAAGUCUGCUGUGAAAGUCCAGGGCUCAACCCUGGGAUGCCGGUGGAUACUGUCGAGCUCGAGUCCGGAAGAGGCGAGUGGAAUUCCUGGUGUAGCGGUGAAAUGCGUAGAUAUCGAGAGGAACACCAGUGGCGAAGGCGAGUCCCUGGACAACACCUGACACUGAGGCACGAAAGCCGGGGGAGCAAACAGG